AUGAACGCUGGCGGCGUGCCUAAUACAUGCAAGUCGAGCGAACAGACGAGGAGCUUGCUCCUCUGACGUUAGCGGCGGACGGGUGAGUAACACGUGGAUAACCUACCUAUAAGACUGGGAUAACUUCGGGAAACCGGAGCUAAUACCGGAUAAUAUAUUGAACCGCAUGGUUCAAUAGUUAAAGACGGUUUUGCUGUCACUUAUAGAUGGAUCCGCGCCGCAUUAGCUAGUUGGUAAGGUAACGGCUUACCAAGGCAACGAUGCGUAGCCGACCUGAGAGGGUGAUCGGCCACGCUGGAACUGAGACACGGUCCAGACUCCUACGGGAGGCAGCAGUAGGGAAUCUUCCGCAAUGGGCGAAAGCCUGACGGAGCAACGCCGCGUGAGUGAUGAAGGUCUUCGGAUCGUAAAACUCUGUUAUUAGGGAAGAACAAAUGUGUAAGUAACUAUGCACGUCUUGACGGUACCUAAUCAGAAAGCCACGGCUAACUACGUG
RNAcentral lists this ribosomal RNA (496 nucleotides) under uncultured bacterium. RNAcentral's name for it is "partial 16S ribosomal RNA". It matches the Rfam family "Bacterial small subunit ribosomal RNA", at positions 29 to 507 of the family's 1533-position model. The record is from RNAcentral.